AGCUCCAAUAGCGUAUAUUAAAGUUGUUGUGGUUAAAAAGCUCGUAGUUGGAUCUCAACAGCCUUGAAGCGGUUAACUUUGUAGUUUUACUGCUUUGUAGGCUGUGCUUUUGCUGGAGGUUUAGGGGUGCUCUUGAUCGAGUGUCUCUGGAUGCCAGCAGGUUUACUUUGAAAAAAUUAGAGUGCUCAAAGCAGGCUAAAAUGCCUGAAUAUUCGUGCAUGGAAUAAUAGAUAGGAAGGCGAUCCUAUUUUGUUUGGUUUCGGGAACCGACAAUAUGGUUAAAAGGGACAGGCGGGGGCAUUUGUAUUCAAACGACAGAGGUGAAAUUCUUGGACCGUUUGAAGACAAACUACUGCGAAAGCAUUUGCCAAGAAUGUUUUCA
RNAcentral lists this ribosomal RNA (382 nucleotides) under marine copepod environmental sample. RNAcentral's name for it is "SSU rRNA". It matches the Rfam family "Eukaryotic small subunit ribosomal RNA", at positions 587 to 972 of the family's 1831-position model. The record is from RNAcentral. Lineage: Eukaryota; Metazoa; Arthropoda; Copepoda.